GUUACAAUAUGGUGUACUCGGUGUCAGUAGAAAAAGAAAUGGCUAGAGGAAGUUGUAAUUCUAAUUACAAAGCAUGUGUAAUUAAAGCAUUGUGUAAUUUAAUUUCCCACUGAAGAGGAGGAAAAACAUCCCCUUCUUAGUUUUGUUUUGCUAAAGAUUAAUGGAUAGCCAACAAUUGUCCCUUCUUACUAACUAGAUGCUUCUCAAACUUUUUACGGACAUGUUAUGUGGAGGAAAAACGCAGCAGGAUCUAAGAGUACAAUCUUAUAAUUGGCUCUCUGUGGUAUAAAAUUGAAGUCUCACUUUAUCUUAAAUUUAUGUACAUAGAUCUUGCUUUCUGUUAAUCAGAUAUCGUAAAGCCAGGUCUCAUCAUAAAGCCAGUUCUCCUCUUAAAGAUAUGAAACUAAACUGUAAAAAAAAUUAGACUAUAAAAAUACCAAAAUUUUUUUAUUUCUAAAAUACAUUGAUAGAAAGUUUAUGACAGCUGGUCUGUAGACUAGUGACAGUCUGCGGGGGUGCUUUUGUCCAUCUGUUGUGAAAGGAGGAAAAAAAGCACAUGUACAAUAUUGUCUUUAACUAUAAAUUAAAUAUAAUAUAUAUGUGAUGCUAUAAAGCUGCCUACUGCCCUUUAUCAAAGUGCUCUUUUAUUUAGAUUAUGGAAAUACAUGCUUAAUUUCCUUUAACACUGCCAGAUUUCUCUCCAUAAAUGGCUUUUUAUAACCAGUACUCUGUGGAAAGGCAUGAAAGUUCCAUGUUUCCCCAAACCCUUACCACCACCAGAAAUAUCUGAUUUCCAUGUUCUGGCAGAUCUCAUUAUAAUUUUCCUUUGUCAGAUUAUUCAUAAAGUUGUACAUCCAUAUCAUUUUUUGCCAUUUUGAUUUUUCAUUUUGCCAAUUGGUUAUUCAUAUCCUUUGCUCAACUUUCCAUUGAGUGUCCUAAUUUUUCUUAUUGAUCCAUCAGAAUUUCUUGUAUAUUCUUGAUUAGGGAUCAACAAACUACAGCCUUGUAGGCUAAAUCCUGCUUGGUACUGAUUUUGGCACAGUUUUAUUGGAACACAGCCACAUUCAUUCAUAUAUGUAUUGUCUUAGGAUGCUUUUGUUCUACAAUGGCUGAGUUGAGCAAUUGCAGCAGAGACCAUAUAGCCCACAAAGGCUAAAAUAUUUGCUCUAUUUUUCAAAUAAACAGAAUAGGCCAGGGAUUUAGCUCAGUGGUUUCACAGCCUGCUGCGCAUGCGCAAGGACCCAAGUUCGAUCUCUGGUACCAAAAAAAAAAAAUUAAAUAAAAAAAAAUAAACAAUAACCCAUGCUCCCGAUAUCAAUCUUAUCCACUUAAGAUGUUGCAAAUAAUUUUUACAAUCUGUUACCCAUUUGUAAAUUUUAUUUAUGAAUUGUUGAAUAAAGAUCUUUACUUUCUUGACUUA
Molecule: long non-coding RNA, 1420 nt
Organism: Heterocephalus glaber (naked mole-rat)
Lineage: Eukaryota; Metazoa; Chordata; Mammalia; Rodentia; Bathyergidae
Source: Ensembl